CUUUCCCUCUUUCUUCCUGCUUUACACAUGCAAGUCGGACGGCAGCACAGAGAAGCUUGCUUCUUGGGUGGCGCGUGGCGCACGGGUGAGUAAUAUAUCGGAACGUACCGAGUAAUGGGGGAUAACUAAUAGAAAGAUUAGCUAAUACCGCAUAUUCUCUGAGGAGGAAAGCAGGGGACCUUCGGGCCUUGCGUUAUUAGAGCGGCCGAUAUCUGAUUAGCUAGUUGGUGGGGUAAAGGCCUACCGAGGCGACGAUCAGUAGCGGGUCUGAGAGGAUGAUCCGCCACACUGGGACUGAGACACGGCCCAGACUCCUACGGGAGGCAGCAGUGGGGAAUUUUGGACAAUGGGCGCAAGCCUGAUCCAGCCAUGCCGCGUGUCUGAAGAAGGCCUUCGGGUUGUAAAGGACUUUUGUCAGGGAAGAAAAGGCUGUUGCUAAUACCGACAGCUUAUGACGGUACCUGAAGAAUAAGCACCGGCUAACUACGUG
Molecule: ribosomal RNA, 490 nt
Filed under: uncultured bacterium
Lineage: Bacteria
Description: partial 16S ribosomal RNA
Rfam family: Bacterial small subunit ribosomal RNA
Source: RNAcentral